AGAUAACUGACGUGUAUCUGCCACCUAAAAGAAGGAGAAUGGGGUAGGAGGCUGCGACUUCAACGGGAAGGAGAAUGAUUCACAGGAAGAUAACUCGGCUCAUAUCUCUAUUCCUGGAACAAGCCCCUUAUCUCGAUUCUGAUUCUCCGCAGCAGCAGCUUCGGGUGGCAGUGGCGGAGGAGGAGAGAUAACGUGGUUAUCUACAAUGGACUACAAUGGACUAGCCCUUGGCAAUAAAGGGGAGCCACAGAUACCAAGGCAACGUCAUCAAUGAACCUCACAGUGGAGUGGAAGAGCCAGACAGAAGUGAGGCCAGGCUGCGAUCAUCCCUUUUAUAUAAAGUCCAAGAUCAGGUUCUUUGCGUCUUCGUGGGAUGAAGAUCGGACAUGUUUCCUCCUGAGAUCGUAGAAAGAUCAUUCCGGUUUUUCCAUGACCUGCCCUUCUCCACUGCCCGAGUACUUUGGGUCCCAGGCAACGUGACAUGCCUCGUGCCCCGCAUCUUUGUACCCGGACCCAGCUUCUGCAAAUGUCACAAACACCUACAACCAUGCAAACCUGCUGCCCGCGCCGUGAAGAGGGGCCGGAGGUCCAAGCUUCUCAGCGAACCCCGCUCUGGCGGCAGUUCCUACACCAGCCAGGAAGAGGGAUGAGGGACAGGCUGGCAGCCAGAGGUGUUUGCCAGGUGAGAUGAAACGUGGUGUGGCCCUGACCCCUGUCCUCCCUCCACCACCCCUCCUUCAUCCUUCCUUCCUUCCCUACCCGUGCUUUCAGGGAACAAAGUCCCUCUGGGUUCACUAUACACACAACACAGGGAAGGAAGCAGUGUUUCCUGACACGCUUGCUGACUGCUCUGCCUGGCAAAGGGGCCGGGGAUUUUACACCCCUGGUCAAGCACCUGGCAGCCCUCGCUGGGCUGAGUAAUUGAUGAAUCCAAGAACCAGAGACGUACCCAGGACCACACACCUAAUGAGCAGAACCAGGAGGAAAAAUCAGGUCCGCUUGACUCUAGGUCUGUGUGUUCCCCACACGCGAAAGCACGCCCCCCUUUUGAUGUGAAUUAAAGACAUCCUCUGAGCCACCAGCAACCACCUACUCACCUGCUGAGCUGAUACCAUGGGGGCUGAUCCAGCUAGUUUGUAUUCUGGUUAUCAAUUGCUGCAUAAAAUUACUGUCAAACUUAGUAGCUUAAAGCAAUGAUGAUAUUUCUCUGGCUCACAAAUCUGAACUUGGCAGGGUGGGGUGGGGAGAGCUCCUCUCUGCCCAAGGGAACGGGGAGCCAGGUGGCAGUUGCAUCCCUUUUAUAACCCAGACUCAGAAUUCCUGCGGUGCCCUCUCCACCGCAUUCUAUUUGUCGAGGCAAUCCCAAAAGCAAAGAGACCUCUUUUUUUUUUUUUUUGGACAGGCUCACAGCAUGUGGAAGUUCUGGGGCCAGCGACUGAACUGGCACCAUAGCAGUGACAACCCGCUGAGCCGAAAGUACAGUGUUUAUUGCAGGGCACGAAGCAAGGAGUCCAGGUAGUUCUAGAUUAAAAAACCCCGACUCCCUGAUGCCUUUCAGAAAAGGGUGCUUGUUUGUUUUGUCUUUUUAGGCCCGCACCUGAGGCAAAUAGAAGUUCCCAGGCUAGGGGUCGAAUUGGAGCUGCAGCUGCCGGCUUACACCACAGCCACAGCCACUCAAAUCCAAGCCGCAUCUGAGACCUACACCAGAGUUUACACAAUGCUGGAAUCUUUUAACCCACUGAGCGAGGCCAGGAAUUGAAACCAAGUCCUCAUGGAUUCUAGUUGGGUUUGUUCCCGCUGAGCCACAAGGGGAACUCCACUAAUGCCUUAAAUUUUGAUGGCAUCUCUUGCUGAGGAUGAGAGUUUGUUCAAAAGUGGGGAACAGUUAAAGGGAAAACCACAGACUCAAAUUGGCUUCACUUUUGCUAAAGCCCAUGACACCAAGGCUAGAUGGGAUAUCUGACCUACCUGUAGUCUCAACCUGCCCCAGGGAUGCAGUCUUCAUCGGCCAGUCUGGAGUUUUCUGGUCAGCACCCAGGAGGUAAUCUCUGGGCCCUCUCCAUCUCCUGGAGAAGAAGAAGCCAUCUGCAUGGGAGACGCUUGGCCUUCCUCCAAAAGAAGAUGACCUGGCCUGAAGCAAGCCAGUCUUUGCUUCUCCUAAUAGCCUCCUUGCCCCACCCUCCUUCUGCCAAAAAUAAACCUUCCAUUUGUUUUUUUUAAACAAUCCAUUGGUUUCUUUCCAUUUACAAUACAGGGUGUUGCCUGAUUCAUGAGUCCCUGAAUAAAGUCCAU
Sus scrofa (pig) is the source of this 2292-nucleotide non-coding RNA. The record is from RefSeq and is a predicted model, not a curated record. Lineage: Eukaryota; Metazoa; Chordata; Mammalia; Artiodactyla; Suidae.